RNAcentral lists this long non-coding RNA (1445 nucleotides) under Volvox carteri. Its description in RNAcentral is "long non-coding RNA (VCAR_LNC000857)". The record is from RNAcentral. Lineage: Eukaryota; Viridiplantae; Chlorophyta; Chlorophyceae; Chlamydomonadales; Volvocaceae.
GGCCAACCGUAAGCGAGCAAAAGAGGCGGCAGCAGCGGCAGCACUGGCACAACUAAGCGCUUUAGGGCUUAGCUAAUGGCUUGGACUAACGCAUCUUGCGAACCAGGUGUUAAGAGUGGUGGCAGCGAGGGGCUAACUGACGAGGCAGGCAGAGUGUUCGAGUCUAUGCCCGAGUCUGAUGAGGCGUUGCUGAUUUAUGGGUAGCACCCGGGGUAGCACAAUGGGCGGAAUAUGUGCCAUCCGCCUGCAGCUUCUCAUGAACCCAUUGAAACUCCGUGUGCGGGCGUAUGGAUUCGAGUUGAUUUGGGUUCGUUGGUUUGAACCUGAUCUGAACGAAACGACAAGCUAUCUUACAAUUCCCUUCAAUCCCUAAGCUAAAUUUGGCUCGUAAUAGCUCCAACAGCCGUUUAUUGAUCCAGCGAGCAGAUUGACAGCGCAGUAUGGUGUUAGUACAUGUUCACUUUAGAGACUUUUUCGCUAGACCUACGUUCUUGCAUAUGCGGGUGAAAAGACCAGUCCCACCUCUUGUCCAUAACAGUAACGUGCUAGAAUUGGACGCCGGGGGCACUCCUAUUCUGGUUGUUAUCACAGCGUCACCCCAAGGAUGAGUCCUGACAGUUUUCUCCAUUGCCGAAAAUCAUGUGUGCGAUAUGCAAGCCAAAGAGUGCGAGAAGAGUCCCUAAAAUGUCACGGCAACUGGAAAGGCGACUGUUGAGGCAAUUGGUCUUCAGCGCAGCACGCGAUAACUGUUGUACAGCGAAGCAGUGGCAGAGCCUACAAAUGAUGCGCAAGAGCUGCUGCGUUUAUAGGCAGGCGGGAAGGCAAGGGGAAAGAAUUAGCGGGAGUCCAAAUGCGGGUGUCGCUGUUGUCGGGGUUUGGCGCAAACGAGGCAAUUCUCCCAAGGAAGACAUUGCAAAAGCCACGACACACGAUGCACAACACACCUGGGGCAGUGGUUGCCUUCCCAGCAGUUUGUUGCCAGGUGGAAGUGGGCAAAAAUGACAGCCGGGGCCAAAGGCAAGGGUGCAACGGCUUACCUCCUGGAACAAGUACAUCGCAAAAUCUGUUUUUUUCUGGCCAUCCUCGACUGAGGUAAAGCUGCUUUCUUGUUUCGGUAGGUGUUGUGGUCAUUACACUCGCCGUUACUGCUGUAAGAGACUUCGAAAUGAGCAAAGACAUGGCUUUCAUCAAUGGAUUAACUUCAUUGCGGAUUCCUCCCAAGAACGCCUCUAACGAAGGGGUAGACCGUCUCUAAGCUUGGCCACGGAAUGCUGCUGGACGAUUUGCAUUGUGCAGUGCGCAAAGUCUAACAGGAGACAAGAGCAUCUGCCAUUAACAAACAGACGCACUUCAAGGGGUGGUCAUGUCCAAAAGCGGCAUGUUAUACCGUACGAACGCCGCCAUGCUUGGAAUGCAACAGUCUCGUCAGUAGCCUUGCUCGAAAA